GCCUGGGGUGCCCCGCGAGGGGAGCCCUAGCACAGGUGCUGCAUGGCCGUCGUCAGCUCGUGCCGUGAGGUGUUGGGUUAAGUCCCCGCAACGAGCGCAACCCCCGCCGUUAGUUGCCAGCGGUUCGGCCGGGCACUCUAACGGGACUGCCCGCGAAAGCGGGAGGAAGGAGGGGACGACGUCUGGUCAGCAUGGCCCUUACGGCCUGGGCGACACACGUGCUACAAUGCCCACUACAAAGCGAUGCCACCCGGCAACGGGGAGCUAAUCGCAAAAAGGUGGGCCCAGUUCGGAUUGGGGUCUGCAACCCGACCCCAUGAAGCCGGAAUCGCUAGUAAUCGCGGAUCAGCCAUGCCGCGGUGAAUACGUUCCCGGGCCUU
This 380-nucleotide ribosomal RNA is filed under the name uncultured Thermus sp. RNAcentral's name for it is "bacterial SSU rRNA". It matches the Rfam family "Bacterial small subunit ribosomal RNA", at positions 1005 to 1382 of the family's 1533-position model. Lineage: Bacteria; Thermotogati; Deinococcota; Deinococci; Thermales; Thermaceae. The record is from RNAcentral.